CCCAGGUCUGGUGUGAAUAUCCUGCUGAGUUUUAACUUACAGUUUUAAACAGAGGUGUGAAACCAUGACAUUUUGCAUAGAGGUGGACCGUCUAACUCUAGAGUGGAAAUGCCCCCCUACUUACACUCUUCACUCUCCCACUUGAAGAUGGACAUGCUGCUAAUCGCUCUGAUCACACUCUUAUGCACCGAUUCUUCCAGUCAGGAUGGGAUCUCUGGAUCAGAAGUGGAGCUGAGGGUGAGACCAGGAGACCACAUCGUUCUCCACUGUGACGUCAUAAACAACAUAUCCACUCUGUGGUACCAGAACCGUUCCUGUGGGAGUGACCAUUUCAAUGUGUCUGUGUUCAGUUCACUUGAGAAACCGGUGCCACGCUUUACUUUAAUAUGGAGGCAUUCUAAGGGGGUCUACGAUCUUCUGAUUGAGAACAUCACUGAGUCUGACCUUGGACUCUAUUACUGUGCCACCGUGGGCAUCGAGAAGCAGCUCACCGCGAACAGGGACAUAUACUGCGCUGAGAUCUACCACUAUGGAAACACCAACAGGAGGAUUUCAUUUGAUGAAAUUCCGGACUGUUACUUGGCUUACUCUGAUGUCUACUCCAUCCUGCUGGCGGCCUACAGAGCUUUGUAUCUGCUGCUCGUUCCUUGUGCCUUCUGGGUUGGGGAAAUAUAAGGAGCUCCAAGGAACCAGGAGGAAGUUCUGGAACAAAUCAGACAACAGUCAUUCUUGGUGACAGAACUCUAGGCUGUGUCCCCGGGAGAACGCCCUGAUUCCAAAAGGAUUGUAAAAGGACUUUACAAUUAUCUGUGCAGCAUGUCUUUUUCAUUGUUCAAAUCAUG
Esox lucius (northern pike) is the source of this 842-nucleotide long non-coding RNA. The record is from Ensembl. NCBI's taxonomy places the organism in Eukaryota, Metazoa, Chordata, Actinopteri, Esociformes, Esocidae.